Molecule: ribosomal RNA, 484 nt
Filed under: uncultured bacterium
Lineage: Bacteria
Description: partial 16S ribosomal RNA
Rfam family: Bacterial small subunit ribosomal RNA
Source: RNAcentral
AUUGAACGCUGGCGGCAUGCCUAAUACAUGCAAGUCGAGCGGAUGAAGGGAGCUUGUUCUUGGAUUCAGUGACGGACGGGUGAGUAAUGCCUAGGAAUCUGCCUGGUCGUGGGGGCUAACGUCAGGACAGGGGCGCUAAUACCGCAUCGGAUCUGAGGUUGAACGGGGGGGAUCUUAGGACCUCACGCUAUUUGCUGUGACUAGGGCGGAUUAGCUAGUUGGUGGGGUAAAGGCUUACCAAGGCGACGAUCCGUAACUGGUCUGAGAGGAUGAUCAGUCACACUGGAACUGAGACACGGUCCAGACUCCUACGGGAGGCAGCAGUGGGGAAUAUUGGACAAUGGGCGAAAGCCUGAUCCAGCCAUGCCGCGUGUGUGAAGAAGGUCUUCGGAUUGUAAAACACUUUAAGUUGGGAGGAAGAUCAGUAAGAUAAUACCUUGCUGUUUUGACGUUACCAACAGAAUAAGCACCGGCUAACUACGUG